Molecule: ribosomal RNA, 511 nt
Filed under: uncultured bacterium
Lineage: Bacteria
Description: partial 16S ribosomal RNA
Rfam family: Bacterial small subunit ribosomal RNA
Source: RNAcentral
UGGGGAAUAUUGCACAAUGGGCGCAAGCCUGAUGCAGCCAUGCCGCGUGUGUGAAGAAGGCCUUCGGGUUGUAAAGCACUUUCAGCGAGGAGGAAGGUGGUGAGCUUAAUACGCUCAUCAAUUGACGUUACUCGCAGAAGAAGCACCGGCUAACUCCGUGCCAGCAGCCGCGGUAAUACGGAGGGUGCAAGCGUUAAUCGGAAUUACUGGGCGUAAAGCGCACGCAGGCGGUUUGUUAAGUCAGAUGUGAAAUCCCCGGGCUCAACCUGGGAACUGCAUUUGAAACUGGCAAGCUAGAGUCUCGUAGAGGGGGGUAGAAUUCCAGGUGUAGCGGUGAAAUGCGUAGAGAUCUGGAGGAAUACCGGUGGCGAAGGCGGCCCCCUGGACGAAGACUGACGCUCAGGUGCGAAAGCGUGGGGCAGCAAACAGGAUUAGAUACCCUGGUAGUCCACGCUGUAAACGAUGUCGAUUUUGGAGGUUGUGCCCUUGAGGCGUGGNUUCCGAGCUAACG